CAUGGUGCUCGCCCUCAACGGCAGCCACCUCUACGGUGACCUCCGGCCGCUGGUCCUGGAGGAGCCGCGGGCGCUGGGCGGCGGCAGGAUGAUCGCGGGCUCCUGGCCGCCGCGCAGCCUGGCCAAGCUCGGCCCGUCGCCCCCCCCGUCGGCGCUGCCCACGGCGAGCCCCCUCCCCGCCAACGACUCGCAGUGCGGGGAGCAGAUCCUCAGCUACGGCAGCGCGGAGAAAGUUCUCAUCGGGGCCGUGCUCUGCCUCAUCACCCUGCUGACCGUCGCCGGCAACUGCCUGGUGGUGAUCUCCGUCUGCUUCGUGAAGAAGCUGCGGCAGCCCUCCAACUAUCUCAUCGUCUCGCUGGCCCUGGCCGAUCUCUCGGUGGCCCUGGCCGUCAUGCCCUUCGUCAGCGUCACCGACCUGAUCGGCGGCGAGUGGAUCUUCGGGCGCCUCUUCUGCAACGUCUUCAUCGCCAUGGACGUCAUGUGCUGCACGGCCUCCAUCAUGACCCUCUGCGUGAUAAGUAUCGACAGGUACCUGGGAAUAACAAGACCUCUUACAUACCCUGUAAGGCAGAACGGGAAGUGUAUGGCCAAAAUGAUCCUGUGUGUCUGGCUUUUAUCUGCCUCUAUCACCAUACCCCCCCUCUUCGGCUGGGCCCAGAAUGUGAAUGAUGAAAAGGUUUGUCUCAUCAGUCAAGACUUUGGCUACACCAUUUACUCCACAGCAGUUGCAUUUUAUAUUCCAAUGUCAGUGAUGCUUUUCAUGUACUAUCAGAUUUAUAAAGCUGCCAGGAGGAGUGCCGCUAAACACAAGUUCACUGGUUUUCCCCGUCUGGAAGAAAUGGAAGGGAUUUCUGUGAAUGGACUUGUAAAACUGCACAAGGAAUCUGAAGAAUGUACUAAUUUUUCACGACUCCUAAAGCAUGACAAGAAAAACAUUUCCAUCUUUAAAAGAGAACAGAAAGCUGCCACCACCCUUGGGAUUAUUGUUGGGGCUUUCACAGUCUGCUGGCUGCCCUUUUUCCUCCUCUCCACCGCAAGGCCCUUCAUCUGUGGUACAGCGUGCAGCUGCAUCCCCCUCUGGGUGGAGAGAACAUUUCUGUGGCUGGGCUAUGCAAACUCUCUCAUUAACCCUUUUAUCUAUGCCUUCUUCAACCGGGACCUGAGGACAACCUAUCGCAACCUGCUGCAAUGCAGAUACAGGAACAUCAACCGCAAACUCUCAGCCGCAGGGAUGCACGAGGCUCUGAAGCUUGCAGAAAAGCCAGAGUUUGUUCUGUAAGGUCACUCAUCCUCUACUGUGAUAUUUUGUUGUUUCAUCACUUUAGCUUUUUCCCCACAGGUUCGAAAGAAGUGUUGAAGGAAGAACCAGGCUGCUUGAGCAUUGUUAACGCAGCCGUCAAGAAACAAGGUAGAGCCCACCAGUCCUCAUCAGCCUGGAAGAACAAGACCAGCAUCUAAAGAACUUGGGUGUAAGAGGAAUAUAAGUAGGGAUGAAAGUGAAAUGUAGUGCAGGAUUUUUGAGCUGUCAGUGAGGAAAAAGCAAAGUUGGCCUAACCCAUUUGUUUGGCCCAAAAAGCGUUUAGUAGGUCUGAAUGCACCUUGUGUCCUAGAGAUUCUUUGCUGUAAUAAAGACCUGCGAAUGGUGAAAAGUUCAUUUCCUUCCUCUUUGGUAUUACAAAAAUAAAUCAUUAAAGAAGAAGCUGAAUCAAAGAACUUCUAUUUCUUGGAAAUAUUCUUUAUUAUAAAACCCCAUAUGUUCAUUAAACGAUUUACUAGAUUGCCUGGAAAUGAGCUAUGUUGUGAAAUUUAAUAUUGCCUUUGCACAGCAACUCUGGCACUGAAGGAAUAUGUUACACUUCCAGUGUGAUUAUAAGAGUUUGAGUAAAGUCCCAUGGAGCAGCACCUACUGCUGCAUACAGCCAUGAAGCACAGUUAGCUGCAGUGCUGCUGUGCAAAUCACACCAGGAGAAGUUCUGAUUUCUCCAGGGAAAAAGAAUCAUGACCAAGCGUGCUUCAAAGCAGCCAGAAAAAGUCAAGCC
Hirundo rustica (Barn swallow) is the source of this 2039-nucleotide RNA transcript. It is a transcript of the gene named 5-hydroxytryptamine receptor 7, with no coding region annotated. The transcript has 3 exons. NCBI's taxonomy places the organism in Eukaryota, Metazoa, Chordata, Aves, Passeriformes, Hirundinidae. The record is from RefSeq and is a predicted model, not a curated record.